This 500-nucleotide ribosomal RNA is filed under the name uncultured bacterium. RNAcentral's name for it is "partial 16S ribosomal RNA". It matches the Rfam family "Bacterial small subunit ribosomal RNA", at positions 30 to 523 of the family's 1533-position model. The record is from RNAcentral.
AUUGAACGCUAGCGGGAUGCCUUACACAUGCAAGUCGAACGGCAGCGCGGACUUCGGUCUGGCGGCGAGUGGCGAACGGGUGAGUAAUGUAUCGGAACGUGCCCAGUAGCGGGGGAUAACUACUCGAAAGAGUAGCUAAUACCGCAUACGCCCUACGGGGGAAAGGGGGGGAUCGCAAGACCUCUCACUAUUGGAGCGGCCGAUAUCGGAUUAGCUAGUUGGUGAGGUAAAGGCUCACCAAGGCGACGAUCCGUAGCUGGUUUGAGAGGACGACCAGCCACACUGGGACUGAGACACGGCCCAGACUCCUACGGGAGGCAGCAGUGGGGAAUUUUGGACAAUGGGGGCAACCCUGAUCCAGCCAUUCCGCGUGUGCGAUGAAGGCCUUCGGGUUGUAAAGCACUUUUGGCAGGAAAGAAAUCGCACGGAUUAAUACUCUGUGUGGAUGACGGUACCUGCAGAAUAAGCACCGGCUAACUACGUGCCAGCAGCCGCCGUAA